This is a long non-coding RNA of Sinocyclocheilus grahami, 373 nucleotides long. RefSeq lists it as uncharacterized. NCBI's taxonomy places the organism in Eukaryota, Metazoa, Chordata, Actinopteri, Cypriniformes, Cyprinidae. The transcript is spliced from 3 exons. The record is from RefSeq and is a predicted model, not a curated record.
AUCAGGCCCAGCUGGAAGUAAUGUGGGCUAUGAAAGCCUACAAUCACGCAGAAGUUUACUAUAAUCUUCUUUCCUCAGUUGAUCCCAAACUUCUAAAACUAACUAAAUCCGACGAGCAGAUAUAUACUAAGUUCCGGGAAGCGUUUCCAGAGCUCAGUAUUGAAGUCAGCAGACGCUAAAGAGAAAUGGAGGCCCUUUUGUAACCAGUUUGAAGGAGUUGUAGAGGACUUCAACUAUGGUACAUCAUUAUGUCUAGACUGUCAGAAGGACUACACGGAGGUGAACACGAUAUUCGGUAUGUCAUGCCACACCUGCACUCCUUUUAGUAGUUUACACACAUCUUACAAGUGCACAAGAAACAGAUCAAGAACUU